UACUUCUUCGGACAAUAUACAAGGUGCUGCAUGGUUGUCGUCAGCUCGUGCCGUGAGGUGUCGGGUUAAGUCCCAUAACGAGCGCAACCCCUAUCAUUAGUUGCCAUCAGGUCAAGCUGGGGACUCUAAUGAAACUGCCUACGCAAGUAGUGAGGAAGGUGGGGAUGACGUCAAAUCAGCACGGCCCUUACGUCCAGGGCAACACACGUGCUACAAUGGCCGAUACAGAGGGCAGCUACCUGGUGACAGGAUGCAAAUCUCCAAAGUCGGUCUCAGUUCGGAUCGGAGUCUGCAACCCGACUCCGUGAAGUUGGAUUCGCUAGUAAUCGCGCAUCAGCCAUGGCGCGGUGAAUACGUUCCCGGGCCUU
RNAcentral lists this ribosomal RNA (368 nucleotides) under uncultured Sphingobacteriales bacterium. RNAcentral describes it as "bacterial SSU rRNA". It matches the Rfam family "Bacterial small subunit ribosomal RNA", at positions 1014 to 1382 of the family's 1533-position model. Lineage: Bacteria; Pseudomonadati; Bacteroidota; Sphingobacteriia; Sphingobacteriales. The record is from RNAcentral.